UGGGGAAUAUUGCACAAUGGGGGAAACCCUGAUGCAGCAACGCCGCGUGAGUGAUGAAGGUUUUCGGAUCGUAAAGCUCUGUCUUUGGGGAAGAUAAUGACGGUACCCAAGGAGGAAGCCACGGCUAACUACGUGCCAGCAGCCGCGGUAAUACGUAGGUGGCGAGCGUUAUCCGGAUUUACUGGGCGUAAAGGGAGCGUAGGCGGAUGAUUAAGUGGGAUGUGAAAUACCCGGGCUCAACUUGGGUGCUGCAUUCCAAACUGGUUAUCUAGAGUGCAGGAGAGGAGAGUGGAAUUCCUAGUGUAGCGGUGAAAUGCGUAGAGAUUAGGAAGAACACCAGUGGCGAAGGCGACUCUCUGGACUGUAACUGACGCUGAGGCUCGAAAGCGUGGGGAGCAAACAGGAUUAGAUACCCUGGUAGUCC
This 424-nucleotide ribosomal RNA is filed under the name Clostridium perfringens. Its description in RNAcentral is "bacterial SSU rRNA". It matches the Rfam family "Bacterial small subunit ribosomal RNA", at positions 355 to 796 of the family's 1533-position model. The record is from RNAcentral. Lineage: Bacteria; Bacillati; Bacillota; Clostridia; Eubacteriales; Clostridiaceae.